CUGGAUGCCUGAAGAUUCCACCCGCAGAGAAGCAGGGCCUUGCUUCUAGGUGAAAGCCAACCUCUUCAGCGUUCCUUGCCUCCCUCGGCUUCCCCAUGUGGAGUAGUAUUGAGUUCUGGGAAUUGUCUUUGUUCUUCCUGAAGAUUCUCACUCAGGGUCUGUCACAUGGUUGUCUCCAGAGGGUGGCUGGGAUUGGAGACACAUGGCUUCUUCAUGCAGUCGGCUGACCUCACAUGGCACUACUGGGUUCUAAGGACAAGCAUCGUGGGGACCGGAAGCAGAAAUUACGUUUCCUAAAAGUUGGGCUUGGAAACCACUACUUUUAUUGGCCAAGCAGUAUUGUGGGCUGAGCCAUUUGCUCUCAAAAUUCAUCUGACCCUUGAAAUGCAUUACCUCAGAGCACAAAUGUACUUGGAGAUGGAGACAUUAAGAAGCCAUCUAAUUAAAAUGAGGUUGUGAGGGGGGCUGUAAUCUAGAAGGAUCAUUAUGGAGAGAAACAUGAGCAGGAGCACAUAGUGGAAGGGUCUCCACUGAAGAACACAGCAAGGAGGACAUUUGUAUAUCAAGGCUACUGGCCUCAGGAUAAAUCAAACUUGUCGACACCUUAGUGGUGGAUUUCGAGCCUCCAGAAAUGGAAUAAAUUAAAGACACAGAAAUGACUUUCUGAUGCUGAA
Molecule: long non-coding RNA, 674 nt
Organism: Peromyscus eremicus (cactus mouse)
Lineage: Eukaryota; Metazoa; Chordata; Mammalia; Rodentia; Cricetidae
Exons: 2
Source: RefSeq, a predicted model, not a curated record